Non-coding RNA from Heterocephalus glaber (naked mole-rat), 718 nucleotides. Lineage: Eukaryota; Metazoa; Chordata; Mammalia; Rodentia; Bathyergidae. The record is from RefSeq and is a predicted model, not a curated record.
GUCGGGAGCCAGGUGCUCCACGCACGAGAAUGCCGUGAGGGGCUCGGGAGAUGUGUGCGACCUCGGCUUCUUGCAAGGUUGAACUGAACCGAACCGCGCGCGGGUCCGCGAGCGCCUUCUGGAGCCGCAGACCUGGACUCCAAGAACCGGAGCGACUGUUCCAGUGGGAAGGACAAAAGGACGGAAUUACGCCUCCUGCCAGCUGGGAUCUCAGACGUCAGCCACCAUGCCAGCUCUCGCUGUCUUUUAAGGCCGUUUUCCUAUUUCUUUUGGAGAGCUUCGUAUGUGGAUCGGAUAUAGCUGCUUAGUGAAUUAUGGGCAACUUAAAAGUGUAAACAGGACACUGUGUCUUUAUUGUCAGAAUGUGCUUGCCGGAAAUUAAAGAGUGAAUCUCACAAUGCCUGCCAAGCCUUUAGUGACUCAACAAAAAUGAACUGUCACAGGACGGGACAGAGAGCGCAGGUGCAAAUGUAGCAAAAGGUUAACAACAGUCCGCUAAGGUUUCUCUGUCCGAAAUUUUUUACAGCAAAAAGAUGAGGCAAAUACUAUGUUAUUAUUAUUAUGAUAUUGUUAUUGUCUUAUAUCAUUCUGGCCCGCUGUGGUUACUACCACAGAAAAAUAAGAUCCACACACGACAGAGACUGGUGACUUUCAGUACUGCAUUCUGACUUUAUCGUAAUGUUGCUUGAGCGAAAAAUAAAAAUUGUAAUAAACAAGA